CCAAAAAAUCAAUACUGUUUCUUUAUCCGCCCUCUUCGUUCUCCUCACCGAGGAAAAAAUGUAACCAGCUGUGAAAUCAAUUCCCAACCAUCUUCCUUCUUGUAUCUCGAACAUGAACACCCAUCAUCAUGGCCUCGAAAAUACCUUUGAAUAUCAUCAUCAUAUAAACCAAAUUAGAAAACUAAUUUUCGUCAAUACCCUAUUUCUAACCCUAGCUAAUCGAAAAACUAGUUAAGAAAAAUAUAUACCGGUUGUCACAUCAUCAUCAGCUGCUUCUUCGGUUACCACCUGCACCACCGCCUUCAUCUUACACAACUUUUGAUGUUAGGGAGGUUCAUGUCAUUUAUAAAGAACCAGCACUCUCUAUAAAGAGUUCAUGUCAUUUAUAAAGAACAAACACUCUCUGUAAUGAAGAUCGAAAGAUAUAGUUUGAGUGGAGAAUGUGAUAUGAUAAUUCAUUGUUAUCUGGUAGCAGAUCGGCAUGUUAAGGCCAUCCACAGGUUUAAGGGAAUAUGGCUAGGGCUUGUUGCAGGACAAAUCUCAUGCUUAUAAUGAAACUGAUGUCGAUUUGAAUUGCAUUGUAAACUCUUGAACUGAUGUCCUCUCAUCCCAUAAUACUAUUUUUCUUCUUUUGAAUAAAAUGUUGGUAUUAUUUAUGUGAUCCA
Papaver somniferum (opium poppy) is the source of this 665-nucleotide long non-coding RNA. RefSeq lists it as uncharacterized. The transcript is spliced from 2 exons. NCBI's taxonomy places the organism in Eukaryota, Viridiplantae, Streptophyta, Magnoliopsida, Ranunculales, Papaveraceae. The record is from RefSeq and is a predicted model, not a curated record.